AUGCCAGGUCCCCAUGGAGACCCUGGUGGACCAGUGGGUCCACGUCUCUUAGGUCCCCCACCACCUUCUCAGGGAGAUGAUCCAUUCUGGGAUGGCCCAGGUGAUCCCAUGUGAGGUGGCCCAAUGAGUGGAGGUCCAGGACCUGGUCCUAGACCAUACCACAGUGGCCAAGUGGGUCGAGGAGGAAAUGAGCCACCACCACCACCUCUGUUCCAAGGAGCCAGAGGAGGUCCUUCCGGAGGAGGACCGCCAAAUGGCCGAGGGGGUCCUGGUGGAGGAGGCAUGGUUGGAGGUGGUGGGCACCGCCCCCAUUAAGGCCCUGGAGAGAACAUAGGGAAGUGGUGGACAUCGUUCCCAUGAAGGCCCUGGAGGGAGCAUGGUCAGUGGACAUCGUUCUCAUGAGGGCCCUGGAGGGAACAUGGGUAGAAGUGGUGGACACCGUUCCCAUGAAGGCCCUGGACAUGUAGGACCCAAUGGCCACCGGCCACAUGAUGUCCCUAGCCAUCGAGGCCAUGACCAUCAAGGGCCACCACCUCAUGAACACCGUGGUCAUGAUGGCCAUGGGGGAGGCGGCCACCGAGGGCAUGAUGGAGGUCACAGUCAUGGAGAAGACAUGUCAAAUCGCCCUGUCUGCCCACACUUCAUAAUGAAGGGCAACUGCUGCUAUGAGAACAACUGUGCCUUCUACCACCCAGAGGUCAAUGGGCCCCCACUGUCCUAGGCCUGCCUGCCCUACCCGCACCCCUGUGGACUGCAGCCUUGCUCCUUCCACUUGGUUAUGGCUUCUGUGAGGCCCACUGUCCUUUUCCCCAGCUGAUGAGGAGCCGGCNCCCUCAGUUCCCACCUGGUUGGGUUUCUGGGGGUUUCUGUUCCUGGUGUGCAUUGAUGUACAUAGUCCCCUCCAGUCUGGAGAGGAGAGAGACUGGACACACUCUAGAUGCUGGACUGCUGAGACGGCUGGCUUCACUCUGUGAGGAGAUUUGCCNUGUGCCCCAAACCCUUUCCAGUAUUAGCCCCGCUGCCUGAGAACCUAAAGCUGGUCACUCUGGAGACCUCUGCUCUCCACAUGCACACGGAACUAAGUGGGACAACUGCACUUAGGAAACCAUCCAAGCUAAGCUCGUUAUCCUCACAGGGCGAGGGGGUGGUGAGGGGUACCAUCUAUCCCACUGCACUGCACUGAGGGCUCAAGCUGGCUGAAGCUGAGUUCUGGAACCACCCCCACUUGUGCCCCACAUGGGCCAAUCACCGUUGAGUCCUUUCUCAAGACAGACUGCAACUGUUACCUCCCACGUCAUCGUGGGUCUACUAGGUUCAGUGAUGGCACAUUCAUGUCUGUAUCCAUGGAAGUUGUUAUCUGGCAGAGGGGCAACCUGUAGUGUUGGGCCACUCCUGCCUAUGGCGGUAUUUAGAGACUCCGUGAGACCAGCUUUCAUUAACUUUAGCCGGGGACAGCGGGCCUGAAGCACUACAUGCACUGCCUUUGGGAGUGGGCCUGCUCCUUCCUUACCCCAUGGAGGAGCCCUGUCAGUGAGGCUUCCUGGGCAGACUCAGCAGUAGGGGCCCUUCCCAGUCGUCUCCUCCCCCUGUUUUGGCAUCAGUUGUUUUCUAUGAAAACAGUGAGUUGGUUUUGUGCAGAAUCUUGGGUUAGAACCACAAUGGAUUUGAGGAGUUUUUCUUUUGGUUUUGUAUAUUUUGUACAUUAAUAAUAAACAGUGGAAAGAGAAACAGCUCA
Molecule: non-coding RNA, 1735 nt
Organism: Mus caroli (Ryukyu mouse)
Lineage: Eukaryota; Metazoa; Chordata; Mammalia; Rodentia; Muridae
Source: RefSeq, a predicted model, not a curated record